This 386-nucleotide long non-coding RNA is filed under the name Fragaria vesca (wild strawberry). RNAcentral's name for it is "long non-coding RNA (FVES_LNC001575)". The record is from RNAcentral. Lineage: Eukaryota; Viridiplantae; Streptophyta; Magnoliopsida; Rosales; Rosaceae.
UAUUUUCAGAAAUUCACACAUGAAAUAUAAUGACAGACUUAUUUGCCCAAAAUAAUUGCACCCAGUUUUGAUUAUUGGAUGUCACUAAGUGAUUAUCCUUAUAUCAGUUGUGAACUCUCCUUCCUCUAUUAUUGACUUCAAGUCCUCAUUUUUUAUCUUGCCAAUAUACAAAGCUGUUCAAACCAAAACAAUUGAAAUAAGAAAUAAAAAUAAUAUUUUUUUACUCAAAUCUUUAUAAAGAAGUAAAAACACCAUAUAUACUUACUCUUUGUUUUCUUCUUGAUGUGUUUUGAACGAACUCUUAUAAUGCAUUGCGACAUCCUUCUCUAGAGUUGUCCAUGUUGGCCUUGUGCAUUCGACUUUGUCCUUCUAUUUCACACACAAAC